RNAcentral lists this ribosomal RNA (253 nucleotides) under uncultured bacterium. Its description in RNAcentral is "partial 16S ribosomal RNA". It matches the Rfam family "Bacterial small subunit ribosomal RNA", at positions 524 to 776 of the family's 1533-position model. The record is from RNAcentral.
UACGGAGGGUGCGAGCGUUGUCCGGAAUCACUGGGCGUAAAGGGCGCGUAGGCGGCCUGAUAAGUAGGGGGUGAAAUCCUGCGGCUUAACCGCAGGGCUGCCUUCUAAACUGUCGGGCUUGAGCACAGUAGAGGCAGGUGGAAUUCCCGGUGUAGCGGUGGAAUGCGUAGAGAUCGGGAGGAACAUCAGUGGCGAAGGCGGCCUGCUGGGCUGUUGCUGACGCUGAGGCGCGACAGCGUGGGGAGCAAACAGG